AGGGUUUGAUUCUGGCUCAGGAUGAACGCUGGCGGCGUGCUUAACACAUGCAAGUCGAACGAACCUUCGGGUUAGUGGCGGACGGGUGAGUAACGCGUGAGAAUCUGCCCUCAGGAGGGGGAUAACGGUUGGAAACGACCGCUAAUACCCCAUAUGCCUACUGGUGAAAUGAAUUUCGCCUGAGGAUGAGCUCGCGUCUGAUUAGCUAGUUGGUGAGGUAAUGGCUCACCAAGGCUUCGAUCAGUAGCUGGUCUGAGAGGAUGAUCAGCCACACUGGGACUGAGACACGGCCCAGACUCCUACGGGAGGCAGCAGUGGGGAAUUUUCCGCAAUGGGCGAAAGCCUGACGGAGCAACGCCGCGUGAGGGACGAAGGCCUCUGGGCUGUAAACCUCUUUUCUCAAGGAAGAAGAUAUGACGGUACUUGAGGAAUAAGCCACGGCUAAUUCCGUGCCAGCCGCCGCGGUAAUAC
This 471-nucleotide ribosomal RNA is filed under the name uncultured bacterium. RNAcentral describes it as "bacterial SSU rRNA". It matches the Rfam family "Bacterial small subunit ribosomal RNA", at positions 8 to 526 of the family's 1533-position model. The record is from RNAcentral.